ACAUCCAGAGAACUUAGCAGAGAUGCUUUGGUGCCUUCGGGAACUCUGAGACAGGUGCUGCAUGGCUGUCGUCAGCUCGUGUUGUGAAAUGUUGGGUUAAGUCCCGCAACGAGCGCAACCCUUAUCCUUUGUUGCCAGCGGUUCGGCCGGGAACUCAAAGGAGACUGCCGGUGAUAAACCGGAGGAAGGUGGGAUGACGUCAAGUCAUCAUGGCCCUUACGGCCAGGGCUACACACGUGCUACAAUGGCGCAUACAAAGAGAAGCGACCUCGCGAGAGCAAGCGGACCUCAUAAAGUGCGUCGUAGUCCGGAUUGGAGUCUGCAACUCGACUCCAUGAAGUCGGAAUCGCUAGUAAUCGUAGAUCAGAAUGCUACGGUGAAUACGUUCCCGGGCCUUGUACACACCGCCCGUCACACCAUGGGAGUGGGUUGCAAAAGAAGUAGGUAGCUUAACCUUCGGGAGGGCGCUUACCACUUUGUGAUUCAUGACUGGGGUGAAGUCGUAACAAGGUAGGCGUAGCGAG
This 524-nucleotide ribosomal RNA is filed under the name uncultured bacterium. RNAcentral's name for it is "bacterial SSU rRNA". It matches the Rfam family "Bacterial small subunit ribosomal RNA", at positions 984 to 1509 of the family's 1533-position model. The record is from RNAcentral.